RNAcentral lists this transfer RNA (359 nucleotides) under uncultured Microcystis sp. Its description in RNAcentral is "partial 16S-23S ribosomal RNA intergenic spacer". The stretch from base 134 to 207 matches the Rfam family "tRNA". The record is from RNAcentral. Lineage: Bacteria; Bacillati; Cyanobacteriota; Cyanophyceae; Chroococcales; Microcystaceae.
AAAGGGAGACCUAAUUCGGGUAUAAGACGAAAAAAUAGUAGUCGAAACCAAGAAUCAAUCCCAAAAGGUCGGAACGAGGUAUGUGGCUUUCAAACUAGGUUCUGGGUUCAUAAAAGACCUGAAUCAGGAACAAGGGCUAUUAGCUCAGGUGGUUAGAGCGCACCCCUGAUAAGGGUGAGGUCCCUGGUUCGAGUCCAGGAUGGCCCACCUGCACAGGUGGCAAAAACAAGAGAAGCGAGGAAUCAGCACCUUAUCUUACUGACAUAGUAAGAGAGAAUGCUGGCUCUGAGUAAAGAGUCCAGAGGAACCUUGAAAACUGCAUAGAGCUAAGUGAAAAAGCCAAAAAAGAAGACCGCAAG